RNAcentral lists this transfer RNA (73 nucleotides) under Haematococcus lacustris. RNAcentral describes it as "Haematococcus pluvialis tRNA". It matches the Rfam family "tRNA". From Rfam's summary of the family: Transfer RNA (tRNA) molecules are approximately 80 nucleotides in length. Their secondary structure includes four short double-helical elements and three loops (D, anti-codon, and T loops). The record is from Rfam by way of RNAcentral. Lineage: Eukaryota; Viridiplantae; Chlorophyta; Chlorophyceae; Chlamydomonadales; Haematococcaceae.
UCUCCCAUAGCUCAGCUGGUAGAGCGCACGACUGUUAAUCGUAAGGUCAUGGGUUCAAUCCCCAUUGGGAGAG